This 57-nucleotide small nuclear RNA is filed under the name Mus spicilegus (steppe mouse). RNAcentral's name for it is "U7 small nuclear RNA (ENSMSIG00000004963.1)". The record is from RNAcentral. Lineage: Eukaryota; Metazoa; Chordata; Mammalia; Rodentia; Muridae.
GAGUGAAACAGCUCUUCAAGAAUUUUUCUAACAGGAUUUCUUGGUCAGAAAUCUUAA